UGAGCUCCUGGCUGGAGAAUUCGCUCACAAGGGUGAUGUGAUCAUCUUACGUGUAAAAGAAAACCGAAUUUCACUUCUGGUGGUGACUAUUGUCUGAUUCAUCAUUACAGUAACCACCCAAGGAAACCCUGCCCACAAAAAGCAUUCUUCUGGAGAAGUAACAGUUUUUGGUGACACACAUGAUGGCAACAAUGAACGCUUUGUGGCACGAUGACCUCUAUGAAAAAGAGAGAUAUACAGGUUUUGCUUUUGUUCACUCAACUAAUUACCAACCUUUCAUUAUACCUCUACUCGGACAUCUAAACUUCAGUUAAGCUCUAUGUUUAAGUGGGAUGGAUCUUCAAUUUGCCUACCUAAGGAUUUGAAGUCAGGUUUACAGAGGCAUCAUUUUACAAUUAUCAACUUUGAUAAAUGCAGAUUGUCAUGGAACUACCACCAGAAUCCAGAUAGAGAACAUGCUAUCAUCCCUGUUAUAUCCCUUUGUGGCUAAUCCACCACACUGUUCCAUCCACCAAAGUCCCUAGAAGCCACUGAUCUGUUUUAUGUCCCUCUGGUUUUGUCUUUUUCAAAGUCUGAAAUAAAUGGAAUUGUGGAGUGUGUAAAAAAAAAAA
Molecule: long non-coding RNA, 611 nt
Filed under: Homo sapiens (human)
Lineage: Eukaryota; Metazoa; Chordata; Mammalia; Primates; Hominidae
Description: long independently transcribed non-coding RNA 1893 (LINC01893)
Source: RNAcentral